This 65-nucleotide transfer RNA is filed under the name Dipodomys ordii (Ord's kangaroo rat). It matches the Rfam family "tRNA". Rfam says of the family: Transfer RNA (tRNA) molecules are approximately 80 nucleotides in length. Their secondary structure includes four short double-helical elements and three loops (D, anti-codon, and T loops). The record is from Rfam by way of RNAcentral. Lineage: Eukaryota; Metazoa; Chordata; Mammalia; Rodentia; Heteromyidae.
GGUGGCUCAGUGCUGGAGCGCUUGCCUCGCAUGCAUGAGGCCCUGGGUUCAAUUCCUCAGCACCA